This 274-nucleotide ribosomal RNA is filed under the name uncultured bacterium. RNAcentral describes it as "partial 16S ribosomal RNA". It matches the Rfam family "Bacterial small subunit ribosomal RNA", at positions 523 to 796 of the family's 1533-position model. The record is from RNAcentral.
AUACGGAGGGUGCAAGCGUUAUUCGGAAUCACUGGGCGUAAAGGACGCGUAGGCGGGUUGGCAAGUCAGAUGUGAAAUCCUACAGCUUAACAGUAGAACUGCAUUUGAAACUGCUAACCUAGAGUAUGGGAGGGGGAGAUGGAAUUAGUGGUGUAGGGGUAAAAUCCGUAGAUAUCACUAGGAAUACCGAAAGCGAAGGCGAUCUCCUGGAACAUAACUGACGCUAAGGCGUGAAAGCGUGGGGAGCAAACAGGAUUAGAUACCCUAGUAGUCC